This 24-nucleotide small nuclear RNA is filed under the name Arabidopsis thaliana (thale cress). RNAcentral describes it as "snRNA_01287". The record is from RNAcentral. Lineage: Eukaryota; Viridiplantae; Streptophyta; Magnoliopsida; Brassicales; Brassicaceae.
UUGAUCUUCUGAGAAGGGUUCGAG